Passer domesticus (house sparrow) is the source of this 5943-nucleotide long non-coding RNA. RefSeq lists it as uncharacterized. NCBI's taxonomy places the organism in Eukaryota, Metazoa, Chordata, Aves, Passeriformes, Passeridae. The transcript is spliced from 5 exons. The record is from RefSeq and is a predicted model, not a curated record.
UGCUCCCUCAGUGCUGUUCUCCUCAGCUUCUCUCUCAACACUCUUGGAUUCACUCACUGGGCCCCUCUGAAACUCCCCAUUUCCCUCCAGGGCUGGUCCCUCUUGGUUCUCCCUCAUGGUUGUUUCUCCUCUCCCGCAGCCCUGCUCACCCCUAUUUUGGCUGUCCCCUCACAGAAUGAUUUCCUUUUCUCCCUUCUUCUUGCCCCCUCUGUCACCAUCUCACAGGAAUCCUGUCACCUCUCCAGGAGCUUUUCCCAAAGAACUCGUGAGCAACCAGGAAAAGCCUAUUCAGAGCUGGAGUAAAACAAGAUCUACCACCACUGCUUUAUAUCCUAUUUAAAUCUGGGAGAAGCUUUUUUUUCCAUGUAAUGGAUGACCGCUCAACACAGGACCCAUGCAAAGCCCUUUUGUAGCCCUGAUUCAGCAGUGUGAGCACUCACACCAUUGUGAAGCUUGUUUUUGAGGCCAGUUCAGUUGACACAGGGUUCAGGUAAGUUCAAACAAGCAGUAAUUUAGAGAUCUGUGUGAUAGCUCUGUGCACUCUUUGGUAGGACAUCCCUGCUAUUCAUGUGCUGGAGAGAAGAAGAGUCUCCAGGCUUGGUUUAUUCUAGAAAUAGAUAUUAUUUUCCUCUGUGCAGCAGUAAUUUUUGAUCAGGGAGAGUGUGCAGAGCUGCUAUCAAAAGUUUUUAUGAGGGAAAAGCUCCAUGGGCAUCUGUUAUUUUUGGUCAGGACGUGACAGAGAGAGAAACGGCUGCAAAUGGACCCUGAUCCUCCCGUGGGAGCCCUGGGAGGAGUCAGAAGAGAGGGAAUGCUGAGACUGGAAGAUUUUAUGGCAGGUGGGACGAGGCAGCUGAGUUCUGGCAGGGGAGAUAAGCCAGGCUCCCGAAGGUUCCUUGGAGCAAGGGAAAAACUUCACUCCUGGGGUUGGAUUAGUCACAACAUUUCAUGGGCAGACAGGCACGGGUGUUAUUGUUGUUGUUUUCUUCCCAGCGUGGGAGUUUGACAUUGUUUCCAUUCAUCCACACGUGAGAGGAGCAGAGGGAGAGAAACACAAAGUGUUGUGUGCAUUUUAGUGGGAGUAGCAUUCCACCAGAACAGCAUUCCAUCUUUAGAUCUUGUGGCACUAUCGUGGUGCUAGUUGAGUAUCUUCCACAAAACCAACACAAACAGCAGAGCUGGGAGUCAAGUGGGAUGUUCCCCUCACAAGAAAGGACAUCAGCAGAAGGGGUUUGCAGUGUUUUCCAGAGGUUUGGAUGUACCUGCUCUCCAAAGGGAUGUUUAGAGGCUGGGUAACCCAGGCUGCAAAUGCUUUGUCUGCAGCUCUUUCCGAGGCCUCCUGGAGUGCUUUGUCCUGGAGGAAUGCGGCUGCCACAGCAGCUCCCAGAUGGAGAAUCCGCGUUUGAUGUGGCUGUGGAUUCAAUCCGCUGCCUUGGGAUGCAAGCCAAGGCCUUUUGCAGGAAUGAGGAGCUGCCUCCGAGCCAGGAGAGGCUCUGGAAGCUUCCACAGCAGGUCUCAUUUUCUUACUCAAGUAGCCUUUUCUGGAAAUACUUAAAUGCUGCCCAUCAGUGAGAAAGAGUGGCUGGGAGCUGAGCAGAUCCCUGAGUGGUUGUCCUGAAUUUUUGAAUUCUGAAUGUCUCAGAAGACUCAUUAUUACUAUCCAAAAAUAGCCAGAUGGCACAAACCAGGAAAGCCAAAUAAUUCAUCAUGCCACAUUCAGGCUGGACUGGCCCCUGGGUGAAGCCAGGGUGGUGGAAAAUCUUUUCAUGCUGCUGCAGGCAGGAGAGUUUCUUCCUUUGUGGUGUGGAAGAGUUUUGGACCUGUGUUGGAUGUCACAAGGCCAAAGUGCUCAGCAGAUGUAAAAUAUGAGGAUCUGGUUAUGAUCAUCAUUAAAACCAAUCUGCAGGCAAAGCACCAGGAACUGCUAAUUGGACAACUGAAGAAACACUCAAUAGCUCCAGAGUUUCUGAAUCUUUGAGCUCCGCUGCCCUGUGCAAAUAAAACAGCCUAAAUUCUGCAAAAAAUGACAUUAAAACUGAUAAAUAGGAUUAUGAGAACAUUUAUUCUUUGUGCCACCUGUGCCAGUCUUCAACACAGCACAACUUUUGUAUUCUUUAGUCUGAAAUGUUGAUAUGAUCUCAUAGAACAAGAUCAGAUUAAUGGAUCAGCUUCCCUCUCAGUGUCAGCCAAGCAGAGACUGCUUAUUCUUUUAUGUACUUCAGAAAAUGGACAUAAAUUUUCCAUUUUCUGAAGUUGAAAACACUUCUUGAGACCAGACAUGAGAAAGUAUUUCUGCUUUCUGCAGUAUGUGAGCACAGACCUCUCUGAAAAUAAGUGACUUGCUCGGGAUCACACAGAAAAUCAAUAUUGCUGAGGAAAAGCCAUUGAAUUUCUUUCAUCUCAAGUCCUAUUUUGACUACUGUGCUUCCUCUCUCCUCAUCACUAUUACAACUAAUAAGUGUUUAUGUCUGAUGCAGUGUGAACCAUGCUUAGGUCAGAGAAGCUGCUGCCUCUGUGUGCAAUCCAUCAUGCAAAGUCAUUUCCCCUGAGAUAAACACUGAAAUAAUGGGGGGAAAAUAGAUAAAGUGAGCAAAAAAAGCCAGCCAGCUGACAAAAAUGGGGGUUUUGACUGAUAGCUGGGAGAGGGUGAGACUGCUCUGACCUAAACACUCCAAACAACAAACAAAUAAUUAAAAAGUAACUAAACAAAGAUAAAUGUCCUGGUUGCUCUGUGUCAAAUUCCACAUGUCCCAGACCCACCCUCUGCAGUGACUCAGGCUCUGCCUGACUUUGCUCAACCAGUGGCUUCCAGAACGAAACAUAACAAGGACUAUUAUGCAUAAGAAUCCUUAUAAAAAUAAGGAUUUAAUUGCUGUAAUUGCUUAAGCAAUGAGUUGUCAAGUGCUCAGUGCAGACUGCAAUGCAGGAGAACUGGAGAAAUCCAAUUAACAGGUGAAUAGUGGCUGGGAACCUCAGUUCCUCUUCCCAAAGCAGGACAGGAGCUCUUUAUGGUGCAUCCAUAGGAUUGGAAUUGAUUUGAUUAUUUAUUGAGCUUGUGAGGGCAUCCACAGUGAAUUUCCUUGCAACAGUUCUGAACUCUGAGGAGAAGGAGGGGAGGGAUCAGGUGGAAAUAGGCUGGGAGAAAAAGGUUCAGGCUCUUUUAUGACAAGGUACAUCCUGCAGCACAGAUGAACUGAACAGCCACUCCCUGGACAUCUGGAAAUUUGGCAAAUUUUCCUCACCACUUGGCCCAAAAGGUGUGGGAGUCCCACAAAAGCACCUUCACACUCCAGCCAGAGCAUCCUCUCUUAAUUAAGGUUAAACCCAAGAGUGUCACAGCUGAAAUGCCACAGGUAACUCUUCUCUACAAACCUGGCACUGGAAAGGACUUUGUAGAUCAGCCUCAGUUUCUCCUGAGGAUCCUGGUCCCAGAAGGAUUCUCAUUCCAGAGGCAAAGGCAGUGGCUGCUCCCUGACCCCACUGCCUGCUCUGGCAGCUGGACAGAGCCUCUCUGGGCUGGAGCUGCAGCCACCAGGUCACUGCACAGCUGACAGGUAAAAAUAGGUGCCUGGAGAUAACAAGGCACCACAUCUUAUUAUCAAUUCCCUGGGAAAGCCAACAUCCCUCUCUCUUUCCUCUCCAAAGGAUGCUUUAUUAUAAUUACAUAUCACUUUAUUAGGCAGCUGAAGCAAAGAGCACAUUUGAUGCUAAUGAAGUGCUGCUGUGGUUGAGGCUGUCACUAUUUUUGGAGCUGAACAUCUCCAGCACUUUUCAUUGGGUGAUGGAGCUUUGGAUGUCUCUGGCUUCUUCUGUGGGGGCUGCCCAGGAAAAAGCAGUGACUCAGCGAGCCCAGCUGCAGAACUGUUCACAUGGCAUGGGAAAUGCUGGGGACAGCCAACACACACAAAGGCUCUUUAUGUGCUGCAAGUUGUGCUCAGGUAGGGGCCAGCAUUAUCUGGAUUAAAAAAAAAAUCCCUCUGUGCUGGUCACCUGCACAGGCCUCGUUUUUCCUGUUUUCCAUCCCUCACCCUGCAGCUUUUCAAAGAAGGCAGAUUGCACAGAACUCGGGGAAAAUAUUUGGGAGGUUGGAGACAGACACAUCACAGCUGAUCACUGGCUGCCUCUCCUUUUGGAAUAAGAGGGGUUUGUCAUCUCCCUUUCCUGCAGCAAAGCCUGAGGAGCUGCUUGGCCUCAGGAAGGCAGGAUUUGGUGUUCCAGUUUCUCCUGCUCCCACAUCCCUUGGUGUGACACUGGCAUCCAGCUGGGCCAGUGACUCAGCUCAGCCAUUGACAGGAGCAGAUUCCUCCCUCCCUUCCUCCCCACCUGGCGGGGUGUGUUACUGUCAGCACCUCAUCACACAGGUGACAGGAACAGGGAAUGGCAGCACUGCUCCAGACCAGCAUCUCCUGAUAACAACUCCCAUUUCCAAGUCACUUCCUGACAGCACACUGGCAGCCAAAGCCUCCCCUCCCAGCAAACAAGGUUAAUGACUCCAGGUGUCUUCUGAUCCACGAAGCAGGAAUGUGUCAGAGCAACCAGGAAUUCCACAGAACACCAUUGGGUCUCCACACCCGACUGGUUUUGGGGCUAUUUUGUUACUGCCACUUCCCCAUUCUCAGAGGGAAGGGAUUUUGUUACUGCAACUUCUCUCCCAGAGGGAAGGGAAUGACUGGACAUUAAUGAGUCCUGCAGUUUUCCCUCAAGAGCACAAGGGUGUGACUGAAUUUACAGUAUCACCUGCUCAUACAAACUCUUCUCAUUCUCCUUGCUAGAUGGGGGCUUUCCCCAUUUUGUUGUUCCCACACACGUUUUUUAAUUUAAGUGAACUUUCUAAGCAUAUUUGGUUAAGGUUUUUCUUCGACCUACCUUAGGAGUAGCAGAGAAAUGUGUACAACCCUUCUGUAUCUUUUUAGAGCUGAUUUAUAACAGGCCAUUCCCACAAUUGCAGGAGAAACUCCCUUUAACUUAAAAACCUGUGAGUAAUCCCAUUAUCCAGCAAAGCACACAUAAGAGAUGUAACCAAUAACAGACAAAAUUCCAGUGUCAGGGAAAAUAAAGAACUCGGGGCAGAACACAGCACAGAGCAAGAGACUCCUCCCAGCCAGGCCAGGAGCUGUGCAGGGGACACAGCCAGCUCACUGCCUCCCUCUGCUGAGCCUCGGUGAUACUUCAGAGAAUUCCAGGCUGCUUUGGCUUGGAAGGGACCUUACAGCUCAUCCUGUCCCAACCCUGCCACUUCCACCACCCCAGGAUGCUCCAAGCCCCAUCCAAACUGACCCUGAACACCUCCAGGGAUCCAGGGGCAGCCACAGGGAUCCUCUGGGCACCUGUGCCAGGACCUCAGCACCCUCACAGGGUACAAUUCCUUCCCAAUAUCCCAUCAAACCCUGCCUCUGGCAGAGGGAAGCCAUUCCCUGGGUCCUGUCACUCCAGGCCUUGUCCCAAGCACCUUUCCAGAUCUCCUGGAGCCUCUCUGGACACUGCAAAGGGCUUUAAGGUCUCCCUGGAACCUUCCCUUCUCCAGGCUGACAUCCCUCAGCUCUCCCAGCCUGGUUAGCUACAGGAAGAUGGUAGGAGUGCCCAGUGCUGUCACUUGACACAUUUAACACCCACCAGCACCAGACUGCAGCCCCCUGGUGCAAACCAGGCACUCCACAGGUGUCCAAGUUCUGCCACUGCCUCUGGAGCCCUCCAAGCCCAAUUCCUCUUUCCCACUAAACAUGGCUUCCACCUCAGGGAGGGCUGUACUGCUCUCUUCCCCAUCCUGUUUUCAUGGAGCCUGGAUGAAUUUGUUGAAAUCUCUCUUUCUCAUCAAGUCUAACCCUGUUGGCUACCUCGGCUCAGAAGUGCUGGGCAGACAGAUGGUGCAGUUACAUAAACCUGGAUUCCUGCAGAGGUCUGGCUAAGGAAGAGCUCCAGAGUGCCAGACGUGGUCAACUGUACAUC